GUGCCAGCAGCCGCGGUAAUACCGGUGGCUCGAGUGGUGGCCGCUAUUAUUGGGUCUAAAGGGUCCGUAGCCGGCCUGAUAAGUACCUGGGAAAUCCGGUGGCCUAACCAUCGGGCGGCCAGGUAAUACUAUCAGGCUCGGGACUAGGAGAGACCAGAGGUACUCAUGAGGUAGGAGUGAAAUCCUGUAAUCUUAUGAGGACCACCAGUGGUGAAGACGUCUGGUUAGAAUAGGUCCGACGGUGAGGGACGAAGGCUGGGGGCGCAAACCGGAUUAGAUACCCGGGUAGUCCCAGCAGUAAACGAUGCCAGCUAUGUGUUGCUGGAACCAUGGGUUCCAGCAGUGCCGAAGGGAAGCCGUGAAGCUGGCCACCUGGGAAGUACGGUCGCAAGGCUGAAACUUAAAGGAAUUGGCGGGGGAGUACCACAACCGGUGGAGCCUGCGGUUUAAUUGGAUACAACGCCGGGAAUCUUACCGGAGGGGACAGCAGUAUGAAGGCCAGGCUAAAGACCUUGCCAGAUCAGCUGAGAGGAGGUGCAUGGCCGUCGCCAGUUCGUACCGUGAGGCAUCCUGUUUAGUCAGGCAACGAUCGAGACCCGCAGUCUUAUUUGCCAGCAUGCCCUUUGGGGUGUAUGGGUACAAUAAGACGACCGCCAGCGCUAAGCUGGAGGAAGGAGCGGGCUACGGUAAAGUCAGCAUGCCCCGAAAUCCUCCGGGGAUACACGCGGGCUACAAUGGUCAG
RNAcentral lists this ribosomal RNA (742 nucleotides) under uncultured bacterium. RNAcentral's name for it is "bacterial SSU rRNA". It matches the Rfam family "Archaeal small subunit ribosomal RNA", at positions 455 to 1193 of the family's 1478-position model. The record is from RNAcentral.